RNAcentral lists this ribosomal RNA (254 nucleotides) under uncultured bacterium. Its description in RNAcentral is "partial 16S ribosomal RNA". It matches the Rfam family "Bacterial small subunit ribosomal RNA", at positions 524 to 777 of the family's 1533-position model. The record is from RNAcentral.
UACGAAGGGGGCGAGCGUUGUUCGGAUUUACUGGGCGUAAAGGGCGCGCAGGCGGUCUUGAAAGUCAGGCGUGAAAGCCCCGGGCUUAACCUGGGAAUUGCGCUUGAUACUCUGAGACUGGAGUACGGGAGAGGAGAGUGGAAUUCCCAGUGUAGAGGUGAAAUUCGUAGAUAUUGGGAAGAACACCAGUGGCGAAGGCGGACUCUCUGGACCGUAACUGACGCUGAGGCGCGAAAGCGUGGGAGCAAACAGGG